Molecule: long non-coding RNA, 1806 nt
Filed under: Anas platyrhynchos platyrhynchos (common mallard)
Lineage: Eukaryota; Metazoa; Chordata; Aves; Anseriformes; Anatidae
Description: lncRNA (ENSAPLG00000024541.1)
Source: RNAcentral
AUGGCCCAGCUGAAGUGUAUCUACACUAAUGCGUGUAGCAUGGGUAACAAACAGGAGGAGCUGGAAGCCAUCAUGCAGCAGGCAGGCUACAACUUGGUUGCCAUCACAGAAAUGCGGUGGGACCACUCUCUUGACUGGAGUGCUGCAAUGUCUGGCUAUAGGCUCUUCAGAAGGGACAGGCAGCAUGGAAGGGAUGGUGGUGUGGCUCUGUAUAUCAGAGAGAGUUUUGAUGUCGUGGAACUUGAGGCUGGGAAUGAUAAGGUUGAGUCCCUUUGGGUUAGGAUCAGCAGGAAGGCCAACAAGGCUAGCAUCCUGGUCGGGGUCUGUUAUAGACUGCCAAACCAGGAUGAGGAGACUGAUGAGGAGUUCUACAGGCAGCUGACAAAAGUUGUGAAAUCGUCAGCGCUUGUUCUUGUGAGGGACUUCAAUUUCCCAGAUAUAUCCUGGAAGCACAACACAGCCCAGAGAGAGCAGUCUAGGAGGUUUCUGGAGAGCGUGGAAGAUAGCUUCCUGACGCAGCUGGUUAGUGAACCUACCAGGGAUGGUGCCCCGCUAGACCUUCUCUUCACAAACAGAGAAGGACUGGUGGGAGAUGUGAUGGUUGGAAACUGUCUUGGGCAGAGUGACCACGAAAUAGUAGAGUUCUCCAUUCUUGGAGAAGCCAGGAAGGGGACCGGUAAAACUGCUGUAUUGGACUUCCGGAGGGCUGACUUUGAGCUGCUCAGGACACUGGUUGGUAGAGUCCCUUGGGAGGCGGUUCUGAAGGGCAGAGGAGUCCAGGAAGGCUGGGCGCUCUUCAAGAAGGAAAUCUUAAUGGCGCAGGAACGGUCUGUCCUUGCGUGCCCAAAGACAAGCCGGCGGGGAAGAAGACCGGCCUGGCUGAACAGAGAAUUGUGGCUUGAGCUUAGCAGGAAAAAGAGGGUUUACAAUCUUUGGAAAAGAGGAUGGGCCACUUGGGAGGACUAUAAGGAUGUUGCGAGGCAGUGCAGGGACAAAAUUAGAAAGGCCAAAGCUCAUCUGGAGCUCAAUCUGGCUACUGUCGUCAAAGACAACAAAAAAUGUUUUUACAAAUACAUUAAUGCAAAAUGGAGGACUAAGGAGAAUCUCCAGCCUUUACUGGAUGCGGGGGGGAACUUAGUUACGAAAGAUGAGGAAAAGGCGGAGGUGCUUAAUGCCUUCUUUGCCUCAGUCUUUAGCGGCAAAACCAGUUGCUCUCUGGAUACCCAGUAUCCUGAAUUGGUGGAAGGGGAUGGGGAGCAGAAUGUGGCCCUCACUAUCCAUGAAGAAAUGGUUGGCAACCUGCUACAGCACUUGGAUGUGCACAAGUCAAUGGGGCGAGAUGGGAUCCACCCAAGGAUACUGAGAGAACUGGCAGAGGAGCUGGCCAAGCCGCUUACCAUCAUUUAUCAGCAGUCCUGGCUAUUGGGGGAGGUCCCAGUUGACUGGCAGCUAGCAAACAUGAUGCCCAUCUACAAGAAGGGCUGGAGGGCAGACCCGGGAAACUACAGGCCUGUCAGUUUGACCUCAGUGCCAGGGAAACUCAUGGAGCAGAUUAUCUUGAGAGUCGUCACGGGGCACUUACAGGGCAAGCAGGCGAUCAGGCCCAGUCAGUAUGGGUUUAUGAAAGGCAGGUCCUGCUUGAUGAACCUGAUCUCCCUCUAUGACAAAGUGACGCACUUGGUGGAUGAGGGAAAGGCUGUGGAUGUGGUCUACCUUGACUUCAGUAAGGCUUUUGACACCGUUUCCCACAGCAUUCUCCUCAAGAAACUGGCUGCUUGUGGCUUGAACUGGCAUACACUUUGUUGA